Molecule: ribosomal RNA, 253 nt
Filed under: uncultured bacterium
Lineage: Bacteria
Description: partial 16S ribosomal RNA
Rfam family: Bacterial small subunit ribosomal RNA
Source: RNAcentral
UACGUAGGUGGCAAGCGUUGUCCGGAUUUAUUGGGUUUAAAGGGUGCGUAGGCGGUCCUCUAAGUCAGUUGUGAAAUACUUCAGCUUAACUGGAGAGGUGCAAUUGAUACUGGAGGACUUGAGUACUGAUGAGGUAGGCGGAAUGGACGGUGUAGCGGUGAAAUGCUUAGAUAUCGUCCAGAACACCGAUAGCGAAGGCAGCUUACUAAGGAGUAACUGACGCUGAGGCACGAAAGUGUGGGGAUCAAACAGG